Molecule: RNase P RNA, 409 nt
Filed under: Dyadobacter aurulentus
Lineage: Bacteria; Pseudomonadati; Bacteroidota; Cytophagia; Cytophagales; Spirosomataceae
Description: Dyadobacter sp. UC 10 RNase P RNA component class A
Rfam family: Bacterial RNase P class A
About the family: Ribonuclease P (RNase P) is a ubiquitous endoribonuclease, found in archaea, bacteria and eukarya as well as chloroplasts and mitochondria. Its best characterised activity is the generation of mature 5'-ends of tRNAs by cleaving the 5'-leader elements of precursor-tRNAs.
Source: RNAcentral
GGAGUGAGCUGUCCUACCGCUGCGGUAAUUUUGCCGGAGAGGAAAGUCCGGGCAGCGCAGAGUACCGUACUUCCUAACAGGAAGGCAGCAGAUUGGGAACGGUUUGUUGACAGCCAGUGCCACAGAAAUAAUACCGCCUUGGCAUGUUUUUUAUAAUGUUGGGGUAAGGGUGAAAUGGUGGAUUAAGAGCCCACCGCCUGACUGGUGACAGUCGGGGCACGGUAAACCUUACGGGCUGAAAGAUCAAAUAGGUGUCGGUUUGUGGGGCUGCUCGUCCCCGUUCUCAGGAACGUCGGCACGGGUAGAUCGUUAGAGGUUCAGGGUGACCUGAAUCCUGGAUAAAUGGUAGGAGUUCCAGGCAGUUAAACCGCAUGGAGAACAGAAUCCGGCUUACAGGCUUACCCUUUUU